This 75-nucleotide transfer RNA is filed under the name Mycoplasmataceae bacterium. RNAcentral describes it as "tRNA-Lys". It matches the Rfam family "tRNA". Rfam says of the family: Transfer RNA (tRNA) molecules are approximately 80 nucleotides in length. Their secondary structure includes four short double-helical elements and three loops (D, anti-codon, and T loops). The record is from RNAcentral. Lineage: Bacteria; Bacillati; Mycoplasmatota; Mollicutes; Mycoplasmatales; Mycoplasmataceae.
GUCCUGCUAGCUCAGUGGUAGAGCAUUUCACUUUUAAUGAAGGGGUCCCGCGUUCGAGUCGCGGGCAGGGCACCA